Taeniopygia guttata (zebra finch) is the source of this 1892-nucleotide non-coding RNA. Lineage: Eukaryota; Metazoa; Chordata; Aves; Passeriformes; Estrildidae. The record is from RefSeq and is a predicted model, not a curated record.
UAAGACUUCCAAGUAAAUACAGACGUUUCAGUUGGAGGUUGGGGGGAGGAAGACAUUUGGUAAAUCUUGCUUCCGAGUCAUGAACAACCUAAGUUGUUUCUGCAUUGCCUAGUUACCAUUUCUGUUUAGUUGGCAAUGGUGUUCACUGAAAAUAUUUUAGUUUCUGCUCCUGACAGCUACAAAUGUGCGAUCAUGUGUAAUCUUAUAAACUCAUAUACUGUUAAGUGGAUGCCCAAUACACCUCCUCAAAUGUGAGCAGUGGAUAGCAUUGCCAAGUUACAAAGUCAAUACUGAAUAGCACAGUCAUGCUAAGCUAAUUUACAAAAAGUUUUCACUGGCUGGUCCAUUUCUUCAGCUGUUAAUAGUCUAGCCUGACAUAUGUAGAACAAAGUUCAAGAGCAAACAUGAACAAUUUGCUAGACUAGUUGGCAGAAGCCAGACUGAACCAAUGGCCUCAGGAGACUGAUGCUGACUUUAUGCCAAUUUCAAAUCUCUGCUCACUCUCCCAGUUUACCAAAAAAGCUACUUUUCCUUUCAGCCACACUGCUAAGGGCAACAUGCAGAAGCCUGGUAUCUGACUAAUGCUCACCAAGUGUUACAAGGCUGGAGUGGAGGGAAAUAUGCAACCUUGUGACCCUGACUCAGAAUAGCCAAACUCCAUCUGCUCUGAAACUUUAAAUGGACUUUAUCCAGAAAAAGCUCAGAAAGUGGAAGUACAGAAUCUUACAAAACCAGAGAAGAAUGAACAGGAACACUUCCAAGUACGAGGUAGUUGAUGAGCCAUUACAUCAAUGAGGAGGUACUUCCUUGCUGCAUUUCUUGGCUACUCCUAGAAGCCCAGCUUCUUCUGUUUAAUGUCUAAAGAGGUCUUUCCCCCCUGUUACUUUCCUGGUGAUAACUUCACUUUAUUUAUCUGCAUCAAAUUUUCUUAGUAAGAUUCUUCUCCACAGUCCUCAAGAAAUUCAGAUUCUCUAAAAAUUUAAAGUGUGUUGCUGUUAGGCAGCUGAACAUUGCUACUCUCAGGAGGAAAGAGAGCAUCUGAAAUCUGGAGUCUUUCUUUCAUUGGUAAAAUCAGAGAACACCAAAGAAAAUAGAGCAUUUAUGUAAAAAUUUGCUGUAUGUUGUCCAGUCUCUGCUUAAAGCUUUUAGAUUUGUGUAACUUUUCUCUAGAACCAAUAUAAGUUAUAUGUGAAAAAAACCCCCAUGCUUCAAACUAGGGAAUUAUUUGGCUUAUGCUACUGUGGUGUCAUUAACAUAUUUUUAAUCCAUACAGGUUUUCUCCUGUUGUUUUUACAUGCAUGAAGUAGGACCUCACAACUGCUAUUCAACUAUGUGGCUGCUGUAUCUGGGUUUCCUGUUACACAAAUCAACACACUUAGUUUGAAACCAACAAAUGCCACCUGUAUGUACCAACCAGGAUGCAGCCCAUAGUCAAGGUAGCUUCUUUUCCCACUUGCUAAUUGGCUCACCCUUUUUUUCUCUGCCAGAAUACAUUAUUAGAGAUGCCUGUGCUUUAUUCAGGUCGUUCUUGGUGUGAAUUAACUGCAAGUAUAAGCCUGCAAGCAAAUUCAUUGUAGGUGUAUUUUAAUGGCUGUGAAAAGAAAACUGUAAGCAUUACAUAUAACCUGAGGUGUACUGUGUAAUUUGUACCAUAUAAAUAAAUUAUUAAAAUUGUCUUUCUUUUUUCAUUUGCAGAAUUUCAUAAUUUGAUUUUUAUGGGCAUGUGUUGGUGCCCCCAUCAGGCUCUUAGAAAAAUUAAAUCUGUAAUCCUGUGAACCAAGUGUUGCAGAAAGAAUUAACUCAUUUACUGUAUUGUGAUGAAUAGAAUAGCUGCAUUGAAUGUAUAUGAAGCUGCACAAUUAAUUACUACAUAAAUGUCUUGUCAAGUGAAA